AUGACGCUGACCCGCCGGUUCCACGCGCUCAAGAUGUGGCUCGUGCUCCGCUGCUAUGGCAUCCAAGGCCUCCGUGACCACAUCUGCUCUCACAUGAGCAUGGCCAAGGCGUUCGAGAACAUGGUGAAAGCCGACGAAAGGUUUGAGGUGGUGACAGAAAGGACGUUUGCACUGGUGUGCUUCCGACUUCGGUCACAGGAGAUGUUCGGCGGCGAGAAGACGGUGAACAAGCUCAACCAAGACCUCCUUGAGGAGGUGAACGCGCUCACCUCGGGCCCCUACAUGAGCUCUGCAAACGUAGGUGGCAUGGUCUAA
RNAcentral lists this ribosomal RNA (315 nucleotides) under Triticum aestivum (bread wheat). RNAcentral's name for it is "partial small subunit ribosomal RNA". Lineage: Eukaryota; Viridiplantae; Streptophyta; Magnoliopsida; Poales; Poaceae. The record is from RNAcentral.